UUGCUGCAGACAAUCAUGCAAAGAAAAAAAGCCCAGAGAAGACCACAUGUUGGCAAAUAGUUAUUUAUUUCAUCACCAAGCACACAUGGAGCAACACUGGCAUUAACGUGGAAUCGUUUCUCUGCCCACACGAUGAAUUGAGCCAGGCCUUGGGCUGCCAGCGGAGGACGUGAAGUCAAGCCAGGGAGCCAAGGCCACUGUCAGCUCUCAGUGGUUAGAAUAACCCAGUAAAAACCUCCUGGGGGCUGUGAUCGGACCGGCGCUGGCAGGGAGAACAAGUGCGAGGGUCUGAAGAGUGUGAUAAGACUUCUAACCUGCAGAUCUAUUCAUCAAAACGGACUUCCUGGAUCGUACAUGAAGCAACACACCCGACCCGAUGCGGCCUCGUUUUUUUUUUUUUUUUUUUCUCCUCUCAGCUUGAAAGGUCUUUUCAUGGGAUUUGUUGACGAUACGCUUAUCUUUGAAUUCUUAAAGACGCAACAGUUCAUCACCCCGGAGCUUGUGAAGCACUUCUUGGCCGAGGGCGACCGAGCGAUAGGAGGAGAAAAUUUGGGGUUUGCUGAGUUCUCUUGCAUGUUGUGUUACAGCUGACCCUGUCCUCAACUUUGACCCGUGACCCCGGCAGAGAUCUGUCAUGAGAGGGAGCUGCUUAACACAAAAUGGAGCCUGGUUCAGGAGUCAGAAGGAGAGCGAGAGACAUGCAGGGAGUGGGGGAGAGAGAGGGCGAGAGAGCUCUGCUGCACACAGAGGACUCAUUUAUCCUCUCUCUCUCUCUCGACUGCACUUUUUUUCUUCCCCUCCUUUGCUUUCUCUUGUUUUCGCUGCACAGAAACUGUUGCCCUUUCUUCCUUUACAUCUCCUCUCUUUCUCUCUUGUCUUUCCUCCCCCUCCCUCCCUCCCUCUGUCUUCUCACCCCUCGUCUGGUUGCUUUUUUUUUUUUUUUUUUUUGGA
Long non-coding RNA from Acanthopagrus latus (yellowfin seabream), 951 nucleotides. RefSeq lists it as uncharacterized. Lineage: Eukaryota; Metazoa; Chordata; Actinopteri; Spariformes; Sparidae. The transcript is spliced from 3 exons. The record is from RefSeq and is a predicted model, not a curated record.